Molecule: long non-coding RNA, 380 nt
Filed under: Brassica napus (rape)
Lineage: Eukaryota; Viridiplantae; Streptophyta; Magnoliopsida; Brassicales; Brassicaceae
Description: long non-coding RNA (BNAP_LNC017486)
Source: RNAcentral
ACACGUUUUCCUUCCGUGCUUUAGUUGGAAAGCAUCCGUGCUAUCUUGACAAUAUGGACAUGAAAGCCUCCCAUGUGUUGUCCAUCCAGAUAACAUACCAUAUGCGGGAAAAUCACUUAUUGUCCACAUAAGUACUGCCCUCAUCUGAAAGUUUUCUUUGCACGAAACAUCGUAUGUCUCAGCACCAUGCGCCCAUAACUGUUGCAGCUCAUAUAUCAGUGGCUGAAGAAACACAUCUAAUGAUCUCUUAGGAUGCUCUGGCCCGGGGACAAGAAUGGAGAGAAACAAAAACACUCGUCGCAUGCACAAAUUCGGCGGUAAGUUGUACGGUGUCACAAUCACUGGCCAUAGAAAAUAUUGUCUUCCAUGCUUUCCAAAUG